RNAcentral lists this small RNA (124 nucleotides) under Marmota monax (woodchuck). The record is from RNAcentral. Lineage: Eukaryota; Metazoa; Chordata; Mammalia; Rodentia; Sciuridae.
GCCGGGUGCUUUGGUGCAUGCCUGUAAUCCCAGCAGCUCAGGAGGCUGAGGCAGGAGAAUCAUGAGUUCAAGCUAGCCCCAGCAAAAGUGAGGUGCUAAGCAACUCAGUGAGACCCUGACUCUA